GAUGAACGCUGGCGGCGUGCCUAAUACAUGCAAGUCGAGCGAACAGACGAGGAGCUUGCUCCUCUGACGUUAGCGGCGGACGGGUGAGUAACACGUGGAUAACCUACCUAUAAGACUGGGAUAACUUCGGGAAACCGGAGCUAAUACCGGAUAAUAUAUUGAACCGCAUGGUUCAAUAGUGAAAGACGGUUUUGGCGUCGCUUAUAGAUGGAUCCGCGCCUCAUUAUCUAGUUGGUGGGGUAACGGCUUACCAAGGCGACGAUGGGUAGCCGGCCUGAGAGGGUGACCGGAGACAUGGGGACGGAGAGACGGCCCAGACGCCUACGGGAGGCAGCAGUGGGGAAUCUUGCACAAUGGGCGGAAGCCUGAUGCAGCAACGCCGCGUGCGGGAUGACGGCUUGCGGGUGGUAAACCGCUUUCGCCUGUGACGAAGCGGGAGUGACGGUAAUGGGUAAAGAAGCACCGGCUAACUACGUG
Molecule: ribosomal RNA, 477 nt
Filed under: uncultured bacterium
Lineage: Bacteria
Description: partial 16S ribosomal RNA
Rfam family: Bacterial small subunit ribosomal RNA
Source: RNAcentral